GGAGUUGUGGCUCAGUGGUAGAGCACUUGCUUAGCAGGUGUGAGGCACUGGGUUCAAUUCUCAACACCG
Molecule: non-coding RNA, 69 nt
Organism: Ictidomys tridecemlineatus (thirteen-lined ground squirrel)
Lineage: Eukaryota; Metazoa; Chordata; Mammalia; Rodentia; Sciuridae
Source: Rfam